Capsicum annuum is the source of this 1923-nucleotide long non-coding RNA. RefSeq lists it as uncharacterized. Lineage: Eukaryota; Viridiplantae; Streptophyta; Magnoliopsida; Solanales; Solanaceae. The transcript has 5 exons. The record is from RefSeq and is a predicted model, not a curated record.
GUUUUGUUACACUUUCACUUAAUGUCAAAACUCGACACAUUUCCCAAGUCCUUACGGAAUUUUCACAUUUAUCAGAGAUUUAUGAACUACUGUCUCGGGAAGCUGAGAAGUUGUCCUUGGUCUGAGUUAGAUGGGCUUCAGGCAGAGACAAAGAUCAUCGAUGAACACUUGAGUAAUAUAAACACGAAAGGUUUUCUCACUGUUAACAAGCCAACCUGCAGUUAUCGGUGCAAAAUCUGAUGCUCCUUUAGCUGGAUGGGGUGGUCCUGGUGGAUACGUUUAUCAAAAGGCGUACUUGGAGUUCUUUUGCUCGCGCGAGAUGUUGACUGCUGUUGUCGAGAAAUGCAAAGCUUUCCCUUUCCUUACGUACAUGGUGGUGAACAAGCAAGGAAACUUCAUUCCAACGUCCACCAAACCGAUGUCAAUGCAGUGACAUGGGGCGUAUUCCCAGCAAAGGAGAUUGUACAACCAACCAUCUUUGAUCCUGCGAGCUUCAUGGUGUGGAAAGACGAGGCAUUUGAAAUCUGGUCAAGGUUGAAAAGUAUAGUGUAACUUAGCUAAUCCAACUUCUAAAUGUCUAUUGAUUCCUCAAACGUUCAAACACAAGAAGAAUAUUUUAAUGUAAAUUAGUAUCGAAAGUGCAGGAUAACCAAGUAAAUACAUGAUUCAGUUAGGGGGAAAGGAUUGGAGCAAAAUUUUUACUGAGUCAAGUCGAUAGACUAAGAGAUGAUAAAUUAAAGUAAAAAUGUUAAAAGUGGAAUCUUUUCUUAUCUCUUUUGUUCCACAGCUCACUCCAUUUUCUCUCAACUUCACGUUUUUUUCGUACCAUACCUCCUGCUAUGUUCACAUCUAAUCUCCGUCUACAAAAUAGCAUCUAAAAUUUUUUAAUGGAAUCAAUUUUUUUUUGUACUUUCAACGCAGUCGCUGUCGGCAGAUCUAAUUGAUAUGUGGCUGCUGGAACCGUGGUCACGCAAGACUACCAUGACGCCUCACUUGAGUCACAAGGACGAUUCAAUAUUGCAGCCCUUUCAAGGUGUAUUAACCGAUGCAAAGUUGAAGGAAUCUCAACGAAUUACUUUCCAAGAAGGAUUAUGUUGGGCAAGAACUGCUGAAAGAUAAACAUCUAGAAUGAGGUUAGAGUAUCUAAAAUCUGUUCUGAGGCAAGAAGUUGAAUUUUUCGACACACAGACCACUGAAUCUUCCACUGCUUAUCGAGUCAUUUCGACUAUCUCAGCUGAUUCAACUACCAUCCAAAUCGCUAUAGGCGAGAAGCAAGAAGACUGCAAAACGUCCAAAGUUUAGAUUGUCGACAUUCUCAGUGCUGAUGGAUGGACCAUUUGGUGUUGUUACAGCUACAGAAAUGAUAGGUGUUAUUCACUUCUCUGUGUACAUCGUGUGGGCUGUAAUAAUGUACACUAUACAGAAUGUUGACCUCUUAUCCUCAUUUCAUGCAGACAACGUGAAAGAGAAAAGGCAGAGACUUCUGACUAUGCAGUCAGGAUCAUACUACAUGUCAGGAUAAACUCCUCAUGCCAUGUAUCUCCCAUCUCACACACAGUGGACGUGCUUCUUUUAUUGCAGCAGCAGCAGAGUAGAGUUAUUUCAUAUGCAGUUUUCGAGCUUGUAUCAUCCACCUCAACCCUCGACAUAUCGGCAGUGCCAUGGCUGGAAAUAUUGGGGUUGGUAUGGCUCAAGUCGAUGCGUAUCAGCAAACCUCAAUUAGGUCAUCUGAACUGGACAGGAAAUUUCUGAAGAAUGAAUAAAAGUCUUUAAUAGGACAAUAUCUUCCCUUUUUAGUUGUUAAAGUUACAACUAUUCGGGUGUUUUCAUUUUCUAUUUAAAUUAUCCGAUUUUAAAGUGAUUUUGUUCAUAUAAGUUCAAAAAACUAACUUAUAGUGUUGAUAAGGGGUAUUUCCAUGGGUU